RNAcentral lists this ribosomal RNA (454 nucleotides) under Pseudomonas fluorescens. Its description in RNAcentral is "bacterial SSU rRNA". It matches the Rfam family "Bacterial small subunit ribosomal RNA", at positions 58 to 509 of the family's 1533-position model. Lineage: Bacteria; Pseudomonadati; Pseudomonadota; Gammaproteobacteria; Pseudomonadales; Pseudomonadaceae. The record is from RNAcentral.
CAAGUCGAGCGGUAGAGAGAAGCUUGCUUCUCUUGAGAGCGGCGGACGGGUGAGUAAAGCCUAGGAAUCUGCCUGGUAGUGGGGGAUAACGUUCGGAAACGGACGCUAAUACCGCAUACGUCCUACGGGAGAAAGCAGGGGACCUUCGGGCCUUGCGCUAUCAGAUGAGCCUAGGUCGGAUUAGCUAGUUGGUGAGGUAAUGGCUCACCAAGGCGACGAUCCGUAACUGGUCUGAGAGGAUGAUCAGUCACACUGGAACUGAGACACGGUCCAGACUCCUACGGGAGGCAGCAGUGGGGAAUAUUGGACAAUGGGCGAAAGUGAUCCAGCCAUGCCGCGUGUGUGAAGAAGGUCUUCGGAUUGUAAAGCACUUUAAGUUGGGAGGAAGGGCAUUAACCUAAUACGUUAGUGUUUUGACGUUACCGACAGAAUAAGCACCGGCUAACUACGUGCC